AAACGUGUGCUACUGUAACUUUACUCGAAAAAGAAAAAACAUAAGGGAUUGAGGAAUCAAGAAACUGCUUGAUUAUUGAGCCAACAAAACGCUAUAGAGUAGCUGAUCCAAUGGGUUUCUUUAAUUGGAGAUGAACAAAGUGACUUUGCUUUUGUACAACAAUGUUAAUCCUUCUUCCUAAUUCAUGGUACGUUUUCAACCUGUAGUGUAUAAGAUAUAUUCUAGUGUAUAUGGAGUAGCCUAUAUGUAAUUUUCUUGAACCCCUUGAUUUUGUUGGCCGUUCGAGAAGAAAGUUGCAAACAAACAUUAAAUAAUAUUAAUAAACAAGGUUUUCCUCUACUUAGGAUUUUGUAAAUCAAGAGAUUGGUUUGGUGAGUUGAAUUUCGGACUGGAGCAACAAAGGUAUUUAAAAGGAAGGAUUUUGAGGUAAGUGAGAUUUUAAGCUUUGAUACUUUUUCUAAAACCCAUUUUGAAAGUGUGUUUUCUCUGCCUGGUCCAUGUGUUGGGACAAACGUGCGCUUGGCAGAGUUGGUGGUCUUAGACUAGCCGCAAAUAUAUUAUUUUAUGAAAAAAAAAUCAUUUUAUAAGUUGUUUGAUAGUGUGAUACAGCUGUGCGCCAUAAGGUUGAGUUUUAUAGUUUGAUACGGCUGUGCGCCAUCAUAUUGAGUUUGAUACGGUUAUGCGCCAUUAUACUGAGUUUGAUACGGCCGUGCGCCAUGAUAUAAUGUUGAGUUUGAUACGGCUGUGCGCCAUGAUGUUGAGUUUUAUACGGCUGUGCGCCAUGAUGUUGAGUUUGAUACAUCUGUGCGCCAUGAUGUUGGGGUAUUGUGUAUGCCUUUGUACAUCACCCGUGCAUUGUGUAUGCUCUGUUACAUAUUUGAGGCAUUGUGGUGCCGUUGUGGACUCGUGGUCUGUUGGUAAAUUUCUUUCACUGCAAUUAUGAUAAGUNNNNNNNNNNNNNNNNNNNNNNNNNCCGUGUUGGGUGUUUUUGUAUUUUCCAACACUUGUUCCAAAUGUAUUUAAAGUGGCGGAUCGAGGAUCUUACUGAAUUAUAUUUACGUAUAAUUCACUCCUUACCUGCAUCUCUAUUCAGAUACUAUUACGGGAGAUAGAGCUAGUGGCCGACGAGUUUGUUCGAGUGGAUCCUAUUGCUGAGGUGAGCCACCGUAUUGUUUGUGGAGGCUUUCGUUUCAGACUUACCUAGCUCGUGUUAGUUAUUUCCUUUUUCUUUGGGGUUUGCAUACCCGUCAAUAAACUCAUGUUACUCUGUUAGAUACUCCAUGGUUUUAGUGUGGGAUUUGAGCUAGAGUUUUAUUAUUUGAGUGAUUGUUGGUUUUUCUAUCGAUUGACUAAGGUAUUGUGCGAUAAUCGUUUCCUCUUUAAUUAUUAAUAAUACUGUUAGGCUUGC
RNAcentral lists this long non-coding RNA (1408 nucleotides) under Nicotiana tabacum (common tobacco). RNAcentral describes it as "long non-coding RNA (NTAB_LNC012522)". The record is from RNAcentral. Lineage: Eukaryota; Viridiplantae; Streptophyta; Magnoliopsida; Solanales; Solanaceae.